Molecule: ribosomal RNA, 400 nt
Filed under: phytoplankton environmental sample
Lineage: Eukaryota
Description: partial small subunit ribosomal RNA
Rfam family: Eukaryotic small subunit ribosomal RNA
Source: RNAcentral
AGCUCCAAUAGCGUAUAUUAAAGUUGUUGCGGUUAAAAAGCUCGUAGUUGGAUUUUGGAGCCCUUACAAUUGGACCAGCGAUUCGCUGCGCUCUGAUGGUUGGGUUCUUCUGUCUGGAGACCGCGGGUUUCCUCUUAAUUGAGGGGCUCGCGGGGUCUAGGACGUUUACUUUGAACAAAUUAGAGUGUUUAAAGCAGGCAAAUGCCUUGAAUACAUUAGCAUGGAAUAACAAAUAGGACUUGGGUUCUAUUUUGUUGGUUUUACGGACCCUGGUAAUGAUUAAUAGGGAUAGUUGGGGGCAUUAGUAUUUUAUUGUCAGAGGUGAAAUUCUUAGAUUUAUGAAAGACUAACUUCUGCGAAAGCAUUUGCCAAGGAUGUUUUCAUUGAUCAAGAACGAAAG